RNAcentral lists this transfer RNA (72 nucleotides) under Marmota monax (woodchuck). RNAcentral describes it as "tRNA.Ala". Lineage: Eukaryota; Metazoa; Chordata; Mammalia; Rodentia; Sciuridae. The record is from RNAcentral.
UUUUGUGUACUUCAGUGACAGAGCAAGUGUUUAGCUUGCACAGGGCCCUGGGUUCAAUCCCCAGCUCCAAAA